RNAcentral lists this transfer RNA (87 nucleotides) under Thermoleophilaceae bacterium. RNAcentral's name for it is "tRNA-Leu". It matches the Rfam family "tRNA". From Rfam's summary of the family: Transfer RNA (tRNA) molecules are approximately 80 nucleotides in length. Their secondary structure includes four short double-helical elements and three loops (D, anti-codon, and T loops). The record is from RNAcentral. Lineage: Bacteria; Bacillati; Actinomycetota; Thermoleophilia; Thermoleophilales; Thermoleophilaceae.
GCCCGGGUGGCGGAAUUGGCGAUACGCGAUGGCCUCAAAAGCCAUUGUCCCUUUGCGGACAUGUGGGUUCGAGUCCCACCCCGGGUA